Sinocyclocheilus anshuiensis is the source of this 309-nucleotide non-coding RNA. The record is from the annotation of a RefSeq genome assembly. NCBI's taxonomy places the organism in Eukaryota, Metazoa, Chordata, Actinopteri, Cypriniformes, Cyprinidae.
AUGUUUUUGCUGAGGAGGGUUCAAGUGUUAUCCUGUACUUUUUCUGACUCUGGAGUUACAGAUUAUCUCCACUGGUACCGUCAGUAUGGAAGAUCAAAACCUGAAUUUCUUGCACUCACCUACAGCAAUGCAAAAGUUGCUCAGCGGUCUGAUGUAGAUCCAAGAUUCUCUGUUAACAUUCCAAAAAGGGAACAUGUGGAUCUGGAGAUCUCCUCUGCUGCUGUAUCAGACUCUGCUCUGUACUACUGUGCUCUGAGGCCCACAGUGACAGGAAACACAUCAGCUCUCUACAAAAACCUGUUACAAUGA